CCUACGGGAGGCAGCAGUGAGGAAUUUUCCGCAAUGGGCUAACGCCUGACGGAGCAAUGCCGCGUGGAGGAGGAAGGCCUGUGGGUCGUAAACUCCUUUUCUCAGAGAAGAAGAUCUGACGGUAUCUGAGGAAUAAGCAUCGGCUAACUCUGUGCCAGCAGCCGCGGUAAUACAGGGGAUGCAAGCGUUAUCCGGAAUUAUUGGGCGUAAAGCGUCCUGAGGUGGCUUACCCAGUCGACUGUGAAAGCUCAAGGCUCAACCUUGAAACGGCAGUCGAAACUUGUAAGCUUGAGUACGGUAGAGGCAGAGGGAAUUCCCGGAGGAGAGGUGAAAUUCGUAGAUAUCGGGAGGAAGGCCUAAAGGCGAAAGCACUCUGCUGGGCCGAUUACUGACACUGACAGACGAAAGCUAGGGGAGCGAAAGGGAUUAGAUACCCCUGUAGUCCUAGCCGUAAACGAUGGAUACUAAGUGUUGCGCGACUCAACUCGUGCAGUGCUGCAGCUAACGCGGUAAGUAUCCCGCCUGGGGAGUAUGCUCGCAAGAGUGAAACUUCAAAGAGUUAGUAGCGNGNGAGAGCGACGACGACGACGAGGAGGAGGAGG
RNAcentral lists this ribosomal RNA (602 nucleotides) under uncultured bacterium. Its description in RNAcentral is "bacterial SSU rRNA". It matches the Rfam family "Bacterial small subunit ribosomal RNA", at positions 338 to 956 of the family's 1533-position model. The record is from RNAcentral.